UUUAUUGGAGAGUUUGAUCCUGGCUCAGGAUGAACGCUGGCGGCGUGCCUAAUACAUGCAAGUCGAGCGGAUGGAUUAAGAGCUUGCUCUUAUGAAGUUAGCGGCGGACGGGUGAGUAACACGUGGGUAACCUGCCCAUAAGACUGGGAUAACUCCGGGAAACCGGGGCUAAUACCGGAUAACAUUUUGAACCGCAU
RNAcentral lists this ribosomal RNA (197 nucleotides) under Bacillus anthracis (anthrax bacterium). Its description in RNAcentral is "partial 16S ribosomal RNA". It matches the Rfam family "Bacterial small subunit ribosomal RNA", at positions 1 to 191 of the family's 1533-position model. Lineage: Bacteria; Bacillati; Bacillota; Bacilli; Caryophanales; Bacillaceae. The record is from RNAcentral.